Molecule: transfer RNA, 82 nt
Filed under: Bos taurus (domestic cattle)
Lineage: Eukaryota; Metazoa; Chordata; Mammalia; Artiodactyla; Bovidae
Also listed under: 5 other names
Rfam family: tRNA
About the family: Transfer RNA (tRNA) molecules are approximately 80 nucleotides in length. Their secondary structure includes four short double-helical elements and three loops (D, anti-codon, and T loops).
Source: Rfam by way of RNAcentral
GGUAGUAUAGCUGAACAGUCUAAGGCACUGGAGUAAGGCUCCAGUCUCUUUGGAGUUGUGGGUUUGAAUCCCACCGCUGCCA